RNAcentral lists this small nuclear RNA (105 nucleotides) under Canis lupus familiaris (dog). Lineage: Eukaryota; Metazoa; Chordata; Mammalia; Carnivora; Canidae. The record is from RNAcentral.
UGCUUUCUGUGGCAGCACAUAUAUUAAAUUGGAAAGAUAUAGAGAAGAUUAGCAUGGUCCCUGUACCAGGAUAACACACAAAUUUGUGAAGCAUUCCAUAUUAAA